UUGCCGGCAUGGUGUUGCCCGGGAUAGGUGAGCUUCCGGUCGAGGAACUGAAGGGCUUCCGUGCCGACUGGUUCGCAGCAGCGCUCGGGAUUCAUGCCGCGAUGUCCGUUGCUUUUGGCAUCACCUAUGGCCUGCUUCUGACGAAAUUGCCGCAAAUCCCGGGGCCGGUGGCGUGGGGUGGACUGGUGCUGCCACUGCUGUGGACCGGAUACAGUUAUGGACUGAUGGGUGUUGUCAACCCGGUGCUGCAAGAGCGUGUUGAUUGGCCGUGGUUCGUUGUGUCGCAGUUCGUCUUCGGACUCGCCGCGGCGUUCGUCGUGGAGCGUUCCGAGAUGAUCUACAUCCCGCCUGCAGGCCCGGGACAGCCGCCCGAGAGGGAGCUGGCAUGAAACGCACGGCGAUGCUUCUGGUACUCCUCGCGGGCUGCGAUCUGCCCGGUCGGCCUAGGCCCGACGACCGUCCGGUGCCGGCCAAUCAGGUCGUGAAGUUCGACGCGCUCUACGGCACGCACUGCGCCGGCUGCCACGGUGCGGACGGCCGGCUUGGUCCUGCGCCGCCGCUCAACGACGCCAUAUUCCUGACCAUCGUUCCCGAUGCGGAACUACUGCGCGUCGUCACCCACGGACGACCCGGGACGCCGAUGCCCGCCUUCGCGGUGGAACAGGGAGGACCGCUCACCGCUGCGCAGGUCAAGGCGCUCGCGGAGGGUGUCAAGGCGCGCUGGAAGACGGCCCCAGCGAAGCAAUCGCCCCCGUACGCGCUUGGCAGCGGCGACGGGACGCGCGGUCGGGCCGUGUUCGCACGGGCAUGUGCCGGUUGCCACGGCGAGCAGGGGAAAGGUAAAGAGUCGAGUGCCGGCGCGAUCGCUGAUCCGGCCUUUCUGGCUCUCAUCAGCGAUCAGGCGCUGCGCCGCUACGCGAUCACCGGACGUCCCGAUCUGGAGAUGCCGGACUUCGCCAGUCACGACGGUCGGUCGGCAGACUUCAAGCCGCUCACCUCCGACGAGAUCAACGACCUCGUCGCGUUCCUUGCGUCGGGGCGAACGGCCAAAUGAGGACUCCUGCAAUGAGCGUACCUUCACGCCGAUCAUUUCUUCAGUGGUUGACGUUCGGUCUCGGCGGUGUCGGCUCGAUUCUGCUCGCGCUGCCGUUGGUCGGCUAUCUGCUCGGCAAGCGCCCGCGCCAGACGCUCUGGGUCGAUCUGGGAGUCCUGA
Molecule: unclassified non-coding RNA, 1213 nt
Filed under: uncultured fungus
Lineage: Eukaryota; Fungi
Description: sequence contains 18S rRNA gene, ITS1, 5.8S rRNA gene, ITS2, 28S rRNA gene
Source: RNAcentral